Molecule: non-coding RNA, 225 nt
Filed under: Clostridium botulinum
Lineage: Bacteria; Bacillati; Bacillota; Clostridia; Eubacteriales; Clostridiaceae
Description: T-box sequence
Rfam family: T-box leader
About the family: Uncharged tRNA acts as the effector for transcription antitermination of genes in the T-box leader family.
Source: RNAcentral
AAAAAUUCUUUGAAGGAAAGAGUAAGCAAUAUCUUAGUAUGUAUAGCGAGUAGAGAAUGGUGAGAGCUCUAUGAGAAAAGUUUUGCCAAAAGACAUUCUGGAGAAGUUUAUUUGAAUUUUAUAGUAAGAUAGAACGUAUUCCUGCGUUAAAGGAUUUGAGAAAACUUAGUUUAUUAACUUUGUUAAAGUAGAAUGGUACCGUGAAGCAUAGCUUUCACUUCUAUA